Molecule: long non-coding RNA, 1640 nt
Organism: Anguilla anguilla (European eel)
Lineage: Eukaryota; Metazoa; Chordata; Actinopteri; Anguilliformes; Anguillidae
Exons: 5
Source: RefSeq, a predicted model, not a curated record
AACGCAAGCGUAUUCUUGAGGAGAAACUUUGUACGACGCCAAAUUCUGAGAUUCACCUUGUCUGAAUGUAUCCUGAGAAGACCGAUAGGUGCCUUUGUGGAUGCAGAGAGGGCAGACAGCUCGGGGAGCAGAAGAUUUACUCCUGCGGCCGGUGGAAGAAUGCGAAUGCAGUGGGAAACUAUGAGAGCAUUUCCUCAAAGCCGCGGCUGCUGAUAAAUCUGCUCCCACGUGACACUUCGGUAUUUCUCACAGGUCCUGGAGCCCCGGUUACAAUUCUGUAGGUGUAACCCUUUGCGCGUAUGGUUCAACGUUGAUCAGCUGAAGAUAAAUCACCAACUACCUCCUGAGGGCCAGAAACCAUGGGAUGGGAAGUCAGUUUUCUCUGUUCGAAUCAGAAGAAUCCAAGACAGACAAACUCUGCUGUCUCUCACUCUGGCAUAAGAGAAAUGUAGAUGAUAUGGGAAGAACUCUUGAGUACCUACAGAGAAAAGGAACAGUCAGAAAUAGCAGUGCUAUUAAUUUUUAUGGCACAGUCUAUUUACAGUGCGGAGUGGGCUACUGAGGGGAGGACUAUCAAAGGGAAAGAGACAAGGCUUUCAAGUCAGAACACUUCGAUUUUUCUCCAGAUUGGUUCCAGGUGAGCCGGCUUUGGGAACCUCAGAGGGAGGAGGAAAAUUGGCCUUCCUCGGUGCGUACCCGGGAUAGGGCGCUGAGACUUUACGGUCAGGACGGCACGCGGGGAUGGAAUUCUGAAACUGCGCACAUACGUGGGGAUUUCAACGGAUGAAGCGCUGGGCCUCAACAUAUCUUGUUGUGGUUAAUCGCAGUCACAUUAAAAAGUUAGAGAGUAAAUGGACAGGGGACAGGGUGUCCUGCUUUCAUGGUAAAUUGCUGGCGAGCACAGUGCUGACUUCAAACACCGGCCUUAAUGGUCAGAAUUAUGCUGGGAGUAGCACUUCCUCAUGAACCCCCUAAAAAGCUGUUUUUUACUUUAAAGGAAAAAUUUCCACCCCUGUUCUUCGGUGCAAAUAUGGCUUCUUUCAAAGGAUGCUGUGCCAUCUCCUCUUCAUCUUCCUCUGUUCUUUUUCUGAAGGGAACCUCAUUUCGAAGGAACCUUCUACUUGCCAAGUCCAAAUGCUAUGUUCCAGUGGGAUAUACACGCCAUGCACUAAGCUGGCGGUUGCUUGAUAGAUCAUUUUUAGUUUCAUGGGUUUUAGGUGAAUAUACAGGAAUCAAACCCCUACCUCAGCCAACUGCAUUGGCAGGAGCGCAACAUAAUGGUUUGGGAAAUUGACUCAUAACUCCCUAGUUAUACAUUCAGUUCUCAGGAGGGGCGCUGCAGUUGUACCCUUGAGGUAAAAAUGGAAAACAUUUCAAUAAAAAUUGAAUAAACUCAAAAAUUAUUAAACAUUGAAGGUACUUAUCGUGCAUUGCUUCAGUAAAUAUUCAGCUGUAUGACCAGGUGGUAUGUACAAACAUAAGCUAUGUAAGUCGCUCUGGAUAAGAGAACCUGCAAAAUGCCUGAAUGUAUCUGUGGUCCUGAUGGUGCUGAUCUACUGGUUAUUGUGAACUGGAUGGAUGAAGAUUUUUUGGGGGGAGAAAGGGCGUCACUCCUUCAAUAUCAUGUUAAAGUUAAUAAA